UAAGGAAUGCAAGAGAAGGACAUUGUCAUAAACAAGGUCAAAUGGCAGUUAUCCUACGUGAGCGUAGCGACUGCUAGGAGUGAAUGAGUGUGCGAGUCGAAGUGUGAACGAAGCCCCGUGAAGCAGUGACGUAUGUAUGUGAGGAUGUAUGCAUUCGAAUGAAAUAAAAUGUCGAACGAGUAAAUGAAUGUUGAAUGUGGUGUGUGUUUUGUUAUUCUUACAUUAUAUAUUUUUUUCUAUGUAAUCAUUGUAAUUAUUUCUUAAUAAGUAAGUGACCUAAUGCGUGAACAAUAUUCAUUCCAUAACCAAAGAAAAUGAAAAAAACACAUAAAUAGAAAAUCAAGAAAAUGUGACCAACGAAAAUAAAUUGAACUAGAGUAAUGUGCAAAUAAAAUAUAACAAAAGAAAAUCACAUGAACCAACAGAUGAAAAUAAAACAAUGAAUGUCCCGGGGAAUCCCCUAGCGUGACGUCCCAUUCACUCUCAGACAGCUGCCCAGACGAGACACACCCACCCGAGGGGGCAAUCAACCAUACCUCUUACAAAUCCUCGGAUUUCCGGUGUGUAUUGUAAUAUUGCUGAGCCACGUCACAAAGUAUGCCCUUCUGCCUGCGUGAGGCGUGAGGCGUGAGGCGUGAGGAGAAGAGGCCACAAGUCUGAAGAUAGAGAAGAGGAGAGAAAGUGAAGAAAAGUGAGAAGUGGAAAAGAAAAAGUGAAACGUAUCACACCCGGACUUUAUGUAAGAUCUUGUAAGGAAACAGUGAACUUUAAGGUUACAUUGGUCACAUAAUAAUACAUAAUAAGUGCACAAAAAUAGGGGAAAUAGGAUAUUUUAUUGCUUCAUCAUAUGAAUUAUUUUGAGGGUUUACAUUUUUUUUUAUAAUUUUGUAUUGUGUGUAUUGUGCGUGUAGUGUGAAAUAGAGUAAUAAAUCUGGAUAUUAAAA
This is a long non-coding RNA of Penaeus vannamei (Pacific white shrimp), 944 nucleotides long. RefSeq lists it as uncharacterized. NCBI's taxonomy places the organism in Eukaryota, Metazoa, Arthropoda, Malacostraca, Decapoda, Penaeidae. The record is from RefSeq and is a predicted model, not a curated record.